GUGCUCUCUGCAGUAGCACAUAUACUAAAAAUUGGAACAAUGCAGGAAAAUUUAGCCUGGCCUCAUGCAAGGAUGGCAUGCAAAUCUAUGAAGUGUUCCAUGUGUUU
Molecule: small nuclear RNA, 107 nt
Organism: Meriones unguiculatus (Mongolian gerbil)
Lineage: Eukaryota; Metazoa; Chordata; Mammalia; Rodentia; Muridae
Source: Ensembl